UGAGGAAUAUUGGUCAAUGGGCGGAAGCCUGAACCAGCCAAGUAGCGUGCAGGAAGACGGCCCUAUGGGUUGUAAACUGCUUUUGGAGGGGGGUAAAGUGAACGUCGUGCACGUUUAUUGCAAGUACCCUUCGAAUAAGGAUCGGCUAACUCCGUGCCAGCAGCCGCGGUAAUACGGAGGAUCCGAGCGUUAUCCGGAUUUAUUGGGUUUAAAGGGUGCGUAGGCGGGGAGUCAAGUCAGCUGUGAAAAUCCGGUGCCCAACAUCGGCAGUGCAGUUGAAACUGGCUUUCUUGAGAGUGCGUGAGGCAGGCGGAAUUCAUGGUGUAGCGGUGAAAUGCAUAGAUAUCAUGAAGAACUCCGAUAGCGAAAGCAGCUUGCCCUUUCACAUCUGACGCUGAGGCACGAAAGUGCGGGUAUCAAACA
This 423-nucleotide ribosomal RNA is filed under the name uncultured prokaryote. RNAcentral describes it as "bacterial SSU rRNA". It matches the Rfam family "Bacterial small subunit ribosomal RNA", at positions 355 to 774 of the family's 1533-position model. The record is from RNAcentral.